Molecule: ribosomal RNA, 511 nt
Filed under: Hyderodes shuckardi
Lineage: Eukaryota; Metazoa; Arthropoda; Insecta; Coleoptera; Dytiscidae
Description: partial 16S ribosomal RNA
Rfam family: Bacterial large subunit ribosomal RNA (bases 385-511)
Source: RNAcentral
GUCCUUUUGAUAUUAAUUUAAGGUCUAACCUGCCCACUGAAAUUUAAAUGGCCGCAGUAAUUUGACUGUGCAAAGGUAGCAUAAUCAUUAGUUUUUUAAUUAAAAGCUUGUAUGAAGGGUUGGACGAGGUAAAAUCUGUCUCUAUUUAAUUUAUUAUAGAAUUUAAUUUUUAAGUUAAAAAGCUUAAAUAUUUUUAAAAGACGAGAAGACCCUAUAGAUCUUUAUAUUAUUAAUUUUAAUUUUAAUUUAGAAUAUUUUAUUUUUUAGUUUUAAUAUUAUUUUAUUGGGGUAAUAAAAAGAUUUAAUUAAUUCUUUUUUUAUUUAAACAUUUAUGAAUGAAUAUAUGAUCCAAUUAUUUUGAUUAUAAGAUUAAGUUACCUUAGGGAUAACAGCGUAAUUUUUUUAGAGAGUUCAUAUCGAUAAAAAAGUUUGCGACCUCGAUGUUGGAUUAAAAAUUAUCUUAGGUGUAGAAGUUUAAGAUUUUGGUCUGUUCGACCAUUAAAUUUUUACA